This is a long non-coding RNA of Diabrotica virgifera virgifera (western corn rootworm), 13551 nucleotides long. RefSeq lists it as uncharacterized. The transcript has 2 exons. The record is from RefSeq and is a predicted model, not a curated record. Lineage: Eukaryota; Metazoa; Arthropoda; Insecta; Coleoptera; Chrysomelidae.
AUUUACUAAGGCUGAAAAUCAGUACACACAUUCUAAAUUAAAUAUAAAUAAAAGUUAUUAUAGUCGGUCAGCUGUAUGACGGGACAGAGCCGGCCGGUCCCUUAUAAACUGCUUUAUUUAGAGAAUUAGAAAAAAAUGUAAAAUACAAAAGUUAUUCGAUUUUUAAAUUAUGAUUUUUUGACAUAUAUCGUACUAGUGACGUCAUCCAUUUGGGCGUGAUGACGUAAUCGACUAUUUUUUUAAAUGGAAAUAGGGGUCGAGUGCUAGCUCAUUUGAAAGGUUAUUCAAUUCCCUGUUCAGUAAUAUAAACAUUAACAUGAUUACAAUACAGGGUGUCCAAAAUUUUUUUUAAAUUAAAUUAAUUGUUUAAUUAUUAAUUCAAAAAAUUUAUUUGGACACCCUGUAUAAAUAAUGAUCUUAGUGUUUAUAGUACUGUAUAGAGAAUUGAAUAACCUUUCGAAUAAGCUAGCACACGACUCCUAUCCUCAUUUAAAAAAACAGUCGAUUACGUCAUCACGUCCAGAUGGAUGAGGUCACUAGUACGAUAUAUAUGUCAAAAUAUCAUAAUUAAAAAAUCGAAUAACUUUUGUAUUUUACAUUUUUUUCUAAUUCUGUAAAUAAAGCAGUUUACAAGGGGGUCAAAAUAUAGUGAAUAACCCUGUACAUUCAUUGGGGCCGACCGACCGGCUCUGUCCCGUCAUACAGCUGACCGACUAUAAUAACUUUUAUUUAUAUUAAAUUUAGAAUGUGUGUACUGAUUUUCAGCCUUAGUAAAUGGAUUUAAUUACCUUCGUAGGAAAGCAACUUUGAUACCCUCUCAGUAACCCCUGUUCUACGUUUCGCUUGACCGACCGCACUAUGUUUCUCUACACAAUCACAGUAAUCAACUGUGAAAAAUUUAGCUUUAGUAAAUUCAAAGAAAUUUUUCAGCGCUGCCUCUCCGUCUAUUGUUUCUGUGUCCGUAGGAACAUGUAACAAAGUGACAUACCGUUAAUUGUUUUAUUAACUCAAUAGUGUAAAUUACUUCUUUUAGUUAAUCUUUCUCGAAUGGAGCAAACCACUUAUCAGUACAGCAAACAUCACUUUUUGCUGCUUCUACAGGAUCCAUUUUAGCGCCAUUUUUUAAGUAAAUCGUACCCAUGAAACACUGGAGAUACCUUUUUCAUUACAGCUAUUGUCCUUUUCAUGAUCAUUUUUCAGUGCGUAACAAAUGAUAGGAAAAAGGGUAAAUCCGUGAUAAUACACAUUUAUGACAUUUACUCUAACAUUACAUUUUAGUUAAAUCUGACAGUUGUCACAUUUUAUUUUCAAUUUGGAAUAAAAACAAAUCAAAUGUGUUUCUUGCAUUUAUAAAAUGGUAUUUUCUUUGAUUUGUAUAGUCUUAUAAAUUAUACAGAUUAUAUUUGUAAUAUUAUGAUCUAAUUAAAAAAAAAUUAUUUUUUAUUAUGGCGCCAUCUAUCGACAACUAGAAUAACUAGAAGAAAUGUUAUAAAAAUGGCACCGACGAGAUGUAAUCACCGACGUGCCUUUUUUCUGUCUUAGAAAGAAAUCGAAAAACUGUGACGCACUGAAAGAUGAUCAUGAGAAAUACUGUACCUCCAUUUUUCCCGAAUCCUCUUUACAUGCCACACUUCAAAGCCGUACAUUAACCCAAGCCUCUCCACACUCUUGUACAUCUUUCUUUUCAGCCUUUUCCUCAUUUUUGGAUCACAGGGUACCCCGCUCAUUCACUUCGAUAGUCAUUCGAGUUAUCCUUCAUUCGAGGAUAUCGCAAUUCGAUAUAACCAAACAGUCCUGUCUCUCUCAAUCACGUACACUUGAGGUAACAAGAUUAAAACAGGUAGGAACUUGUGAAGAGCCUUACUUUGAUGUACUCUUUCUGAUACAUAUCCUUCACGUGCCUUACGUACUUCUCAGGAACCUGUUUCUCUCUCAUACAUAUCCAUAGCUUUUGCUUAGGAAUUAUGUUGUAAGCCUUCUUAAGAUCCAUAGAUACCAAAUGUAUCUCUCUUCGCUUUUGUAUUCGUAUUUCUCUAUCAACUGUCCCAAAGCAAACAAGGCAUCCUUUGUCCUCCUUCCUGGCAUAAUCCCAAACUGUUAUUCUCCUAUCGAUGUCUCCCUCCUUAGCAUUUGCUCUACAGUCAUCUUCCAAAUUUUCAUUAUGUACGACAUUAACUUUAUCCCUCUAUAAACAGUCCUGAAUCUCACCUUUAUCUUCAUACAGUGAUACCUCACGCUGUCCCUCCAUUCAUUGGGUAUCCUUUCUUUCUCAUAUAUCCUUCUCAUCAUGUGCCACAAUAAAAUUAACCAAUUCCUCUCCUAAAGCCUUCCAAACCUUCACAGGUAUUUCAUCAGAUCAGAUGAAAUACCUGUGAAGGUUUGAAAGGUUAGUGCCUUACCAUUCUUCAUCCUAGUUAAAGCCUCGACAGCCUUACCUCUCGUUAUCUCCGGUAUUGCAUUCCCAUUUGGAGUCCCGCAUCCUCUGUCUAUCCUCUAGUAUUCUUCCUUUAGCAGCUUUUUAAAGUACUCAUUCCACCUUUGAUUUAUUUCAACAUCGGAUCUUGACACUCUACCAUCCGACACUCUUAAUCUGUCGCACAUUAAUCAAGUCCUUUGAUGACAUUCCUUGCUUUUGCAAUGAUCUGCUCGUUUAAACUUUUCAUCUCCUCUGGUGUUCCCAACUUUUCAUACAGCUUUGGAGACGAUCUUUUCUUAGCAGUAGCUAUAGCUAUAGUAGCUAUUCUUUGCUAUCUUGUAUGUAUCAUUUAUGGGAUCAUUAGAUGUUCUUAGAGAGGGAAUAUAGUAUCAUGCCUUAACGUUCGCACUUGACCACAGUGAUACAACACUUUCCCUCAGAAACUAGCCCAUCCAAAGAUUUAUGACUUCGCAGAAAGCCACAGGCUUCCUUAAUAGUGUACAUGGUCUUCGAUAAGCUUACUUACUUACUCCGUGGCGUUACAACCCUUCGUAAGUUUUAGCCGACUCGACAACAUGCCUCCACUCAUCUCUGUCUUGAGCAAUCUCCAUCCAGUUCUCCACGCCCAUAGCUUUCAGGUAUCCUGUACUAUUAUCUCUCCACCGGAGUCUAGGGCGUCUACGUGGUCUCCAUGUUUCAUAUUUAAUUUAUUUGUUCCACUGGACACGCUGCACUGGUGCGAUAGCCAGCGGUAAAGGGAUUACAGUCGAACAAAUCAAUUAAUUUUAAACCAUCGCGACGUUAUAUUGAAAUUUACACUGGUUAAUUGCAAAUCAGAGAUCUCAGUUCAGUACAGCGUAUCCAGUGGAACAAAUGAAUUACAUAUGAAACAUAGCGACGUUGUGUUGAAAUUUACACUGGUUAAUUGCAAAUCAAGAAUCUAACUUACUGCAUUGAAAGUCCUAUGUUCCGAAAAUAAAUUUCCGUACUUACCUGUAUAUGAAUAAGCUGGGGAAUAAAAAUUAUAUUCGCUUUGAGAGAUAUAACUUUAACAUUUGGCCAAACUUGCUUGAAAACUUCUUUUUAAUACUGUUAAGCACACUCCGUACAACAGAACCUGUGUUGGAUUUUUCAAAUUAAAUAUCAACUGUUCGAACUUUAACAAAUGUACAAUCAAUCAUCUAAAUGCUUGUCUUAUCAUCGGUUUUUGUAGUCACCAGUGAAGUGCUGUUAUAUAUUCUAAAAAUACCUACUACAUAGCAUUAGUUUUUGACAUUCGAAACUAGCACAAAAAAGGAAUUGCGCCUGCGCCUGCUUAGAUGACCACCGAACCGUGUUUGAUGUAUCCGUGCCUUUGCGGUACGUGUUUAAUGUUCUCAAUGUAUUCAUAAAAGUCAGAUAUUUUUAAAUUCUAUUUUUAAAAAUCAUUUAACGAAUACUUGAUGGAAUCCGUUGUACAACAGCUGCAAAUGUAUUUGUAUCUGCAGUAGGUGUGUCGUGAAAAUUUAUUUUAUUAAACAAAUAUUUUAUUAAAUAAUUCAUUGAAAACUGCUAUUCCCUUAAUAUGUACAAAAUGUAUUAAUGUCAUAUCAAAAGAAUCGAUAGGGAUACCAAGAAUAAAAUGAUAUCAAAUAAAUGAUGUAGGCAGAGAAAGAAACAAAUUACUAGAAGAAAUGCAAAAUGGAAGAAGUGAGUAAAGGAGAGACCAGAAUUUCAAUCCGGCACCGGAAAAGGCACAAGCAUAUGAGAAGAAAAAAUAAUUGUUUACUAAUUCAUCUUUUUAUUUGUUAUAAUUAUAGGCUCUGUACCUGUUUUUACUUCGGUUCUACGCUCCUAUGUACUGUAUAUCAAAUUAUUGUUGGUCUGCUAACAUUCCUUUCGACUUUGGGUCUUGUCUGAGGUAUCCAGCAUAAGAAUUAUUUUGAACUUCUUUAUCAUUCACGAAUAUUAUAUUCUAAAGUUUUGGGCGGUUCCAAGAAAAUUAAAAACAUAUUUGCUGAUGGGUAGAGCAAUUUUGAUAACGGAUUAAGAGGCUAUCCUAGUGUGAAAGUGCAAAAUUCAUAUACUUUUUUUUUGGGAGUAUUUGAAAUAGAAAUAUUUGAAAUAUUAAAAAAAGAGCAAAUCUGCAUGAGCAUUUAUUGUAAAAAGAAAACUCAAAACAAUUUUCAUAACAAAAUAUUGAACAUUAAACGAUUUAUGCGCCAUCUACUGGCACUGUGAUUGGAGUAAUAGAGAUCCUGAAACAUAAAAUUUCAAAGUGAUUAUUGAAAUAUAAGUUAUUUCCUAUACCAUCAACUAGGAUAUUUGAAAAAUAUUAAAAUUUGGAAAAAUGACGAAGUAUUAAAUUUAUUUUUUAAAUUACCUAAAACAUUUUCUGUUUCAAAAACCACCAAAUUGACAUUUUUUAUCCGAUCAAAAAAACCCCUAGUUCAUAGUAUAGAAAAUAACUUAUAUUUCAAUAAUAACUUUGAAAUUUUAUGUUUCAGGAUCUCUAUUAGUCCCAAUCUUGGCAGCAGUGGAGCUAUGUUUUUAUUUUCACGGUGCCAGUAGAUGGCGCAUAAAUCAUUUAAUUUUCAAUAAUCUUUAAUGAAAAUUGUUUUACAUGUAUUUUUUUUUAUAAUAAAUGCUCAUGCAAAUUUUCAAAACAAUUGGUAGAGUAUUUUUUGAAGAUAUUCUUCUUUAGGCGCGAUUCGAUUGAGAGUAAAAUUGUACAUAAAUCUGCGCGCCUGCGCACACAGACAGUAUGUAGUCCCUUGCUAAUCUUUCAAGAUAGGUAUUUAUGUAUCUGUAUCCGUACAAAUAAGUCAUUAAAAGAAUAUAUUAGUGUUUUUAGUAAAUGUAUUAUUUAUUAUAAUUCUUGUGUUUUUGGAUUUGUGUUUCUCUGUAGUAAAAUAAUAAAAUAUUAUGUAAGCAUAACAUUUUUACACUAUUUGUCGCCGUGUUGUGUAAUUAUAUCCGAAACUUACAUGUCAAUUAGAAGGACCUCGCUGGUGUAGUUGGUAGGGCGUUAGCUCCGAGAUUGGAAUGACGCGGGUUCGAAUCCUGGGCGAUUCAUAUUUUUUUUUUAUUUUUGGUUGUUUUAAUAAAAGUUUUUUGAAAGUGGUAGAUAAGAAAGUUAGUUUAAUUUUUAAAUAAAAUACAAAUAACUUGUUAAGUAUAUUUACUUCGUUGAAAUUACCUAUAUAAUAGAAGAAUAUCUUCUUACGUGUGUACAAAGUACACACACAUUCAUUUUAUUUUAGAAAUUCCCAAAAAAGUAUAUGAAUUUCGUACUUUUACACUAGAAGAGUCCCUUAAUUAUUUGCGGAAAAGUUAUAUGCAGUAUUUUACUUUCAAUAACUUUUUUUAUGCAGAAAUUAUAUACGAGUAUAAAAAUAAAUUAGCGUAUAUGUUGAACGAGGUAUUUAGUUCGACCCAUACACGUUUUUAAAGUUAAGAGCGUAGGACAAAAUUUUGGGCCAAAUGCUUUUUAAAUAUUUUUUUUCGAAUCCUGGAUAAACUAAUAAAUAUUUUUGAAAAAUUUAAACGCAGAAUGAAAGAUUACAUUAUAACCGAGGGUCGAAGGUCCCUGAAAACUUCUAUAAUGUUUAUUUUUAAUAAGUUACAGAGAAGGGUUUUAAGGUGUUUAAGGGUGAAAAAGAAAAGAAAAUUGAGUGUCAUUUUUAAUUUCAAAUAUCUCAUUCAAAAGAAACUUUUUGUUUAUUCUAAGGGACUUUCGGCCGUCGGUAAUAAUGUUAUCUUUCAUUCUGCGUUUAAAUUUUUAAAAAAUAUUUAGAUAUUAGUUUACUCAGGAUUCGAAAAAAAUGAAUGCUCACGCUCUUAAUGUGGUCGAUGCUUUAAUUUGUUUUUGUUAAAAUAUAUAAUUUGAAUUUAAAAGUAUCUGACGCAACGAUACAGUAAAAAGUGUAAUUUUACUCAAGGGUUGUCUUACUCGAAUCGCAGCAUGUGAUUUUUAUACAAGAAGCAAAGUAUUUUGUACGUAAAGAGAAUUUGUUGGUUAGUAUUAGUGUAGGCAAAAGUGAAUGUUGUUUGUUAAACAUAAUAUAGUCCGAUGUUUAAAUUUGCGUAGAUAUGUUGUUUUAAUUGUGGACUACAAUUUUAUCCUAAGACUAAUUAUUAGAAUAUUUUGAAUCUCGGUUACAUGGUACUCGAUUUGUUAGUUAACUUGCUGUUUUAUUUGUUUAAUGCUUAGCCAGAUGCAGCUUUUUAUCGUUGUGUUAGAAGUCUGGAAAGUAAAUUGAUACUCAUUUAUAAUCUUUGCUACAUGGAAAAGUCUUUUUAUAACCUAAAUGAAGAUUAUUGAUGAUAACUACAAAAAACAGCGUUGUCGAAUUCCCCACUAUAAUAUGGGUUGGAUAUAAUUCAUGCGAAAAAGUAAAACCAGUCCUGGCUAAAAUUUAAAAAUUAUUUAUUUAUUGUACUCAGAAAAUGACAAACAGGGUGGACCAAAGAAGACAGUCUACCUCCAUAUUUGGCAGUAGUUAUUAGAUUUUAAGGAAAUGACGGAACAGGUCGAUUUUUGUUCUAAGGGGGACAGAUUUUUACGAUACAUACAUCUGUCAUUUGCCAACCACCUCCCUUCCACUUCCCCAGCAUCUUAUUUUUAAAUAGGGAAUAUACCAUGUGCGGAACAUCAUUAGAAAGGCAUUUAGAUGGAGUAUACAGAUAUAACGACUGUCUACAGACAUAACUGUUAAUUCAUUUGAAGUACAACACCUCUUAAAAAUGAAACAUAACGCCUAUGGUUUGCUAAUAUUUGAUUUUUUCUGUCACAUCCAUAGACUUGUAUAUUAUCAUAGACAGAGUGUCAUUCAGAGCGAAGUGACGACACCAUAUUUUUCUCUUGGCUCAGUGCUGUUUCACUCUUACGCAUAGUAAAACUGCGACAGUAGUCCUCGCAUUCCGUGCCUAUAUUCACACUUAAUGUAAUCUUAGUUCCUCGAUACAAUGUGCUAGAAAGAGAUACCGCAAACCAGUCCAAAAGAUCUUGUCGUCAGGAAGCGCGGAAGUUAGGCUCACUCUAUGUUAAUAUACAGUGCUAGUCAAAAGUCCGUACCCCCCCUCUUAUCUUUUGAACGGUUAUACGUACAAAAGUGAAAUUUGGAGGGAGGAAAUAAACGGACAUAAGCUCCUUAACUAGUCAUGACAGGUGACGUACUAGUGACAGAUGACGUUACAGAGCCACUGUGACCGAUAAUUUUAAAUGGGACCUUAUGGCAAGUGAUACCUCGUUUGAAAGGUAUUUAAAAUACCUAUUCAGCCAUACUAAUUUUUUUGGGUGUAGGUGGAUUUUUAUUUUGGUGAAUAAAUUAAAUAAAUAUAAUAUUGUAGUUUCUCAUUUAAUUAACAAAAAUUCAAAUGUCCGCCUAUGGUUUCUUUGUCAAAAAAUUUGACGUUUUUCAAUUUUCUAGUAGUUUUUACGUAAACUUCAACCCUUUUGACAAGUAAUCAUAGGCAGAAUUUUGAAUUUUUAUUAAUUAAAUGCGAAACUACAAUUUUAUAUUUAUUUCAUUUUUUCAUCAAAAUUAGCUUAAACUCAAACAAAAUUAGUAUAAAUGAAUAGGUAUUUUCAAUACCUUUCAAACGAGGUAUCACUUGCCAUAAGGUCCCAUUUAAAAUUAUCUGUCACAGUGGCGCUGUAAAGUCAUCUGUCACUAUUACGUCAUCUGUCAUGACUAGUUAAGAAGCUUACGUCCGUUUAUUUCCUCCCUCCAAAUUUCACUAUUAUAGGUAUAACCGUUCAAAAGAUACGAGGGGAGGGUACGGACUUUUGACUAGCACUGUAUACCUCUAUGGUCACAUCAAAAGUAAAUGUGACGUGACAGUAAAAAUUACAUGUUAGCAAACCAUAGACGUUACGUUACCUUUUUAAUAGGUGUUGUACUUCAAAUGAAUUGACAGUUUUUCUGUAAAGACGGUGCAAAUAUCGAAAAAAAAAUCGUGAACGAUUGUUAUGUCUGAGUACUCCAUCUAAUGCCUUUCUAAUGAUGUGCCGUACCUGGUAUAUUCCCUAUUUAAAGAUAAGGUGAUGGGGGAGUGGAAAGGAGGGGGUUGAAAAAUGUAUGUAUCGUAAAAGUGUAUCUCCCUUAGAAUAAAAAUCGAUCUCUGUUUCGUCAUUUCCUUAAAAUCUAAUAACUACUGCUAGGGAUGGUCUCCAGGCAAGCCGAGCUCGAGAUCGAAGCUCGGCUUGAACUUCGAGCUGCAAGUUGAGCUCGGGUCGGCUCGGCUCGUGGCCCGUUCAUAACAUAAUAAUGAAUAUAAAAUGUAACACUCGUAGUAAUUUACGGACACACUGUAUAUUGAAAAUACAUAUUUGUAGUAUGAAUUACUUAUUCUCAAACAAAAGUAUCAGUCAUAGCAGAAAUAAAUUAAUUAGAAAAAGUAUUAGAGCAUUAGCUAAAAUAUUGACAAGUUUGCUAAAGAAAGCUCGGCUCGUUUCGAAUUCAGUUCGGUUCGGCUCGCAAGAAUGAAACUGAGCUAAGCUCGAGCUUGUGACCAUCCGUAACUACUGCCAAAUAUCGAGGUGGACUGUUUUCUUUGGCCCACCCUGUAUAUUAACAAUAAAGGUGUAAUCGAAUAGAUGAAUGUAGAAACGAAUGAAGUAACAUUUGUCAAGUUUUUAGAUAUUUUGCAAUAUUGUAUUAGAAAGACAAGCGGAUAGAACUAGAAUGUAUGAUUUUGGAAAUAUUCUGAAUGAUAAAAAAUAGCAAGAGAUAAAUCACCAAUCGGUAGAAGUAUCGGCCGAACGCGAAAGAAUGGAAUAACAACCUUCCAUAGAGGUAUUAAUCCGCCCAUGAACAAGCAGAAUUACUUAUAAAGAGGAAGAAGAAGAUAAAAAAUGUAUGUUUUCUGUUAAAAUUUUUGUGGUUUAAGUUCUUCUUGUCUUUCAUUGCCUCGUCUCAUAGGCGUAACCAGGAUGAUCCUAAGGGGGGGGUUACAACUACCUGAAAGGGGGGGUUACAACUACUGGAAGGUCUCUGAGGGCUAUGGUGUUAAGCGUAGAGAGCUCAAAGUACAUCCUAAUGGGGGGGGGGGGUUACAACCCCCAAAACCCCCCCUGGUUACGCCUAUGCCUCGUCUACUUCAUUCCUCUACGAACUCCUGAAUCUGCCUUUUUUUCUCGUCCCCAUGGGACUCAAAUCUGUUCUUUUGAAUAUCCACUUAUUUAUAUCUGUUCUUUUAACGUGCCCAUACCAAUUUAUUUUUUCUUCUAUAUAUUCCGGCACUUUCUUAGUUGUCCCCAUUCUGCUUUUAAUUGCUAUACUAUAGAGUAUAGAGUAUUGAGUGGAAAAUGUUUGUUUUUAUGUUCUUUGUGAUGUGGCUGUUCUAUAGCACCGGAUUUAACGGGAAUGGGACGUUUCAUCGCCGCCGUUUCGAUGCCGCCGGUUCAUCGCCAGUCCAUUUCAUCGCCGUCCGUUUCAUCGCCAGUUAGUCAGUUUAUUUUGUAUUAUGGGAGAUGACACGACACGACGUUAAAUUCAGUUCAAAACUUUUGACAAUUAAAAAGAUAAAAAAUAUUAUUUACUGUUCUACUUCCCCUAAAUUUUUGUACAGAAAUGUUGAGUUCUUUUCGAAUUUAAGAAACAGUUUCUCUUGGUUUUAAUUGUUGACCGUGAAAUUUAAAAGAUUAUCAUUAUAAUAUAUUUUAUAUUAUAAAAGUUUAAAAGUCUAUUAAAAGAUUAAGUAUGGCAACGGACAUGGUCAUUUCCUAGAAUUCCUGAUUAAUACUAAAAAUAAAUAAUAAAUAUAACUGUCCAAAAUUCGGAAAUAUAUCAGAUAGCGAUUAACUCACUGUCGAUGAAUCGGCCGGCGAUGAAUGGGCCGGCGAUGAAUCGGCCGGCGAUGAACUGGCGGCAUCGAAACGGCGCGCGGCGAUGAACUGGCGGCGAUGAAACGUCCUAGACCCGGAUUUAACAGCUUGAUACACGUUCUUGUUUGACCCAGUCGAUUUUUUUUCUUCUUCGGUUGUUUCGUUCUUUGAAACUAAGACUCCUAAGUAAAAUUUGUUUGUGCCUUUUAUUUGUACGAUGUUCGUUUAAAAUGUCCUUCUUUGAGUACCGAACUCAAAUUUUCGUUGUGGGUAGCUUCCUUGACAAUUUAUCGAUGUCGUCCUCGAUGUUGCGCGGCUUGUAGCGCAAUUCAUCUGCUGAUAAGCCAAUUCAUUGACAAAGGUUUCGGAUCCAUGAAUAGUUCUUCCUACCAAUUCCUCUUUUUCCGUUGAGUAUUAACUGCAGUAUCCAGUAUCUGUUACCUCUCAUUAUAUGCCCCAGAUAUUCAAGUUUUCUCUUUUUAUGAUCUUCAUCAAGUCACUUUCGCAUUGUUGACCUACUCUGUUUAAGAUUUCUCUGUUUGAAAUGCGUUAAACCCAUGAUAUUAUGAGCAUUCUACGAUAUGACCACAUCUCGAAGGCUUUUAAUUUGUUCAUCUUAUUAACCUUCAUGAUCCAGGUUUCACACCCAUAAGGAACUAGUACACUUUAGAAGACCAAAAAUAAUCAUUUUUUUCUAGAAUUUUUUUCUCAGAACCUUUAUUAAAAAUGAAAACAAAACUUUUUACAUAUUAAUAUCUAACUCUUAGAGAGUACAAAAAAUAUAUCUUUUUUCAUUUAUUCUCGUACACUAAUUUUGUAGAGGGAACAAAAGUCGAGGCUCGAAAAAUGAUGGCGGACAGUUAAUCUCAGGAUUGGGAUAUCUGAAAUAAAAAAAUCGUACUGCAUUUGAAAAAGGAAGGUUUCGUACGUGACAAUUUACCACAAUUUGGCCAAAAAAUAAAAAAAAAUUUUUACCAUGAAAAAACUGAAGAAAAGCGGGCGAUUUUUUCACAAAAAAUUUUCAAAUUUCCUUAAAAUCUUUUUUUUGCCGAAUUUUUCACUAACGGUGGUAAUUUGUCACGUAAGAAACCUUCCUUUUUCAAAUGCCGUACAAUUUUUUUGUUUCAAAGAUUCCAGCCCUGAGAGUAACUGUCCGCCAUCGAAACUACUUUUUGUCGAGGCCUCGACUUUGGCGCCCUCUACAACAUUAGUGUACAUGUAUAAAUGAAAAGAGAUAUAUUUUUUGUAUUCUCUAAGGCAAGCCGCACACCAACGAAACAUGAAACGAAAAACAUGAAACGUAAAACACGUUUCAUGAAAAUUAAACACGGCUAAACAAAUCUUGAAGUCAGCCUACCAAUAAAACGAGUGUGAUUCAUGCUCAUAACACGUUUUUAUUUUCGGAAAGUUUCAUAAAUGGCCGGACGUCUAUUUGUUUAGCAGUGUUUUAUUUCCAUGAAACGUGAUUUACGUUUCAUGUUUCUUUGAUGUGCCUGCCUGCCUAAGCCAAGCCGCACACCAAAGAAACAUGAAACAUGAAACGAAAAACAUGUUUCAUUAAACUAAAACACUGCUAAACAAAUCUCAAAAUCCGCCUACCAAUGAAACGAGUGUGAUUCAUGCUCAUGACACAUUUUUAUUUUCGGGGAGUUUCAUAAAUGGCCGGACGUAUAUUUGUUUAGCAGUGGUUUAUUUCCAUGAAACGUAAUUUACGUUUCAUGUUUCUUUAAUGUGCGGUUGGGCUAAGAGUUAGAUAUUCAUAUGUAAAAAGUUUUAUGUUCAUUUUUAUUAAAGGUUCUGAGAAAGAUAAUCUUGAAAAUACAUAUGCAUAUUUUUGGUCUUAUAAAGUGUACUAGUACCUUAAAGUAUUACAGGAUACACAUAACAUUUCAGGAACUUUAUUCUUAGUUGUAAGUUCAGCUGAGAAUAGAUCUAAAUUUCAUAAAUGCUCCUCUUGCAAUUUAUGUACGAGUUUUAAUUUUUUCAUCAGGAUUUAGUGUGUCGUUUAUUCAACAUCCUAGGUAUUUAAAAUGGUUAACUUUUGUUAUCGGUUAAUUACUGACAAUUAGUUGCAUAGAGCCGGCGCGCGACGUCUUGUUUGCUAUGAUGUUAACUCUUGUUUAAAAUGAUGUUACAAAAUGUCAUAAAAACAAUGAACAGAUGUCUUCGCUUCCACAAGAAUUUAUUAAGUUUUAUAGUUCAGAAAAUAUGUUAGGGGUGAUACUUUAGACCUAAAUACUAGAUUUAUUGUAAAAGGUAUGUUUUAUAUUAAUAUACCCUAAAAAAGGGUCACAAGACAAAACGUUUUCGGAUUAAGAAAUCCAUCAUCAGUGUUCUAAAAGCCAAAAAAUAGCAUGCCUGAGCCACCAAAAUGUGUUGGGCAAAAACCCUUUAAAUGUAAAAGAUUAUGUUAUGUUACAUAUUUGAAUAAAAUGUUAAUGAUGUUCUAGAUAUGCCUGAAUGUUACCCAGGGCAACACAGGACUCUUCCCACGCGGUUGGAAUUUUUUUUGGAGAAAACCUCACAUAUUGGAUUUCAAUGGCCAACUGGUAACAUCCAGGCAUAUCUAGAACAUCAUUAACAUUUUAUUCAAAUAUGUAACAUAACAUAAUCUUUUACAUUUAAAGGGUUUUUACCCAACUCACUUUGGUGGCUCAGGCAUGCUAUUUUUUGGCUUUUAGAACACGUUUCUUAAUCCGAAAACGUUUUGUCUUGUGACCCCUUUUUAGGGUAUUUUAAAAUAUACCUUUUACAAUAAAUCUAGUAUUUUUGUGAUUUAUGCUAUACAGCUAGCUACAGGAAAUUUAUUUUCUUCGUGGACUUUAGACAUAUGUACUUUGUAUUAAAAUUCAGAUACGUCAGUAAACGAUGGUACAAUUAGAAAUGUCGUCCAUAUUUAAGUUUUCUCACAACGGUUUCCUAUUGCUAAGAUUCUUAGUUAAAACUAUGAUUUUAACUUUUAUUACAGUAAUUUAAAAAAGUUUUACUUGUUCAAAUUAUAAUCGUUAAAAAGAUGCAUCUGGCUGCACUCGUUUAUCGAAAGAAAUGUUUUUAUUUAACGGCGAUUAUAGCUUUAGUAUAAAUGAUAUUAAAAGUUUGUAUUUUGGUGAUUUUUUUUCACUGUUUUACGCAGCUAAUUGUUGGAUUUUGUAUAGUAUAGUUUAUUUUAACAAUAAUAUUUAACUUUUUCAAUAGUAUGAUUUUUACUAGUCAUUUUUAUUAUAUUAUUAUUAAUAUUUCAUAUUGUAUUUAUCGAAUAUUGUGUAAUGUUGUAUAAAAAUUGUUUUAUUAUUGUAGAUGAACUUAAUAUAUUGGUUUUCUCUUA